RNAcentral lists this ribosomal RNA (424 nucleotides) under Megaselia variana. RNAcentral describes it as "partial 16S ribosomal RNA". The record is from RNAcentral. Lineage: Eukaryota; Metazoa; Arthropoda; Insecta; Diptera; Phoridae.
UUUUAGAAAUUAAUUUAAAGUCUAACCUGCCCACUGAAAAUUUAAAUGGCCGCAGUAUUCUAACUGUGCAAAGGUAGCAUAAUCAUUAGUCUUUUAAUUGAAGGCUGGAAUGAAUGGUUGAAUGAAAUAUUAACUGUUUCAUAAAAAUUUAUAUUAUAAUUUUAUUUUUUAGUUAAAAAGCUAAAAUAUAAUUAAAAGACGAGAAGACCCUAUAAAUCUUUAUAUUUAAAUAAUUUUAAUUAUUUAGAUAAAUUAAAUUAUGAUUAUUUUAAAUAUUUUAUUGGGGUGAUAUUAAAAUUUAAUAAACUUUUAAUUUAAAUUUUACAUUAAUUAAUGAAUUAUUGAUCCAUUUAUUAUGAUUAAAAAAUUAAGUUACUUUAGGGAUAACAGCGUAAUUUUUUUAGAGAGUUCAUAUUGAUAAAAA